UAACAACGUAUUAAUUUAAAACUUAUAAGUUCUAACAUAAUCUUAGUUCAAAAUAUUUGAUAUUGGAAGAAGAUGCAUCCGCUUUUCCAUCACUCAUUACCACCACUAUUACCAUCUUUCAAACCUUAAUCAUCACCAUCAUCAUCUAUAUAUAACAAUUGAAGAACAAACUAAUUAAAUUCAUACAUGGUUACAAAAAUAAUGAAGUAACAAAUAAUUUUAUUAAACUAAAUAAAUUACCUCCACCAACAAAACCAUUCAACCGAUUUCGAGCACACAUCAAAGCUUCCACAUUUUUGGUUAAAAGUCGACUUCUAUACUUGUUAAUGACAUGUGAACCAAUAUGCUGAAUGCAGAUUCAGAUGCACCAGUAGUAAU
Molecule: long non-coding RNA, 378 nt
Filed under: Lotus japonicus
Lineage: Eukaryota; Viridiplantae; Streptophyta; Magnoliopsida; Fabales; Fabaceae
Description: long non-coding RNA (LJAP_LNC002162)
Source: RNAcentral